GACGAACGCUGGCGGCGUGCCUAAUACAUGCAAGUUGAGCGCUGAAGGUUGGUACUUGUACCAACUGGAUGAGCAGCGAACGGGUGAGUAACGCGUGGGGAAUCUGCCUUUGAGCGGGGGACAACAUUUGGAAACGAAUGCUAAUACCGCAUAAAAACUUUAAACACAAGUUUUAAGUUUGAAAGAUGCAAUUGCAUCACUCAAAGAUGAUCCCGCGUUGUAUUAGCUAGUUGGUGAGGUAAAGGCUCACCAAGGCGAUGAUACAUAGCCGACCUGAGAGGGUGAUCGGCCACAUUGGGACUGAGACACGGCCCAAACUCCUACGGGAGGCAGCAGUAGGGAAUCUUCGGCAAUGGACGAAAGUCUGACCGAGCAACGCCGCGUGAGGGGAGAAGGGUGUCGGAUCGUAAAACUCUGUUGGUAGAGAAGAACGUUGGUGAGAGUGGAAAGCUCAUCAAGUGACGGUAACUACCCAGAAAGGGACGGCUAACUACGUG
This 497-nucleotide ribosomal RNA is filed under the name uncultured bacterium. Its description in RNAcentral is "partial 16S ribosomal RNA". It matches the Rfam family "Bacterial small subunit ribosomal RNA", at positions 28 to 507 of the family's 1533-position model. The record is from RNAcentral.